CCUCGAAAUUUCUUCCUGAGAACAACAUGAGAGACGCCGUGCUCUUGCUUGACGGUAGCCACGGAGUUGACGAACUUCUUGAAGAGUUCGCGAUUCCGAACUUGAUCCGCAUGGUCCCGGAGGAAGCCUCGAAAGUGUUGAAUCGUUUGUUCCCUGUUGGUUCCGAAGGUCGGGAGUUGGUUGAGAAAUGAAGCCUCGCCCACUUCAGCCACCACUUGGGUUGCUGGAGCAGCAGCUUCGGCAGAGAGUCCCAAACUUCCCUCUGCCCGGCGACUUUGUCCAGCUCUCCAAGGCUUUCCCAGCCCAGCCAGGAGACAAUAUCUCCAAUGUGUCCAGGGUCGUGGCCCAGAACACUUCACUAGGCAUCCAGGAGGCGUCCUAAUUAGAUGCCCUAGCGACCUCAUCUAGCUUCUCUCAACAUGGAGGAGCAGCGGCUCAACUUCGAGUACCUCCCGGAUGACCGAGCUUCUUGUCCUAUCUCUAAGGGUGUUUUCAGACCUGAAUUUUGGUCCACUUUAAAAGGACCAGGGUUCGAUUCUCACGCUGGUCCGCCACCAACAAAAAUCUGUGUUACAUUAGCUUCUAUAUUAAAAUUGGUUAUAUUACAACAAAAGACAUUGUGAAAUUGCUAUA
Molecule: long non-coding RNA, 633 nt
Organism: Syngnathus typhle (broad-nosed pipefish)
Lineage: Eukaryota; Metazoa; Chordata; Actinopteri; Syngnathiformes; Syngnathidae
Exons: 3
Source: RefSeq, a predicted model, not a curated record